AACAAACGCUGGCGGCGUGCCUAACACAUGCAAGUCGAACGUGAAAGUUGGCUUCGGCCGACGAGUAAAGUGGCGCACGGGUGAGUAACGCGUGGAUAAUCUGCCCUUCAGUUGGGAAUAACUCAUCGAAAGGUGAGCUAAUACCGAAUAACACUGCCUGACCACGGUCCGGUAGUCAAAGAUAGCCUCUGCUUGCAAGCUUUCGCUGAAAGAUGAGUCCGCGUACCAUUAGCUAGUUGGUGGGGUAAUGGCCUACCAAGGCGACGAUGGUUAGCUGGCCUGAGAGGAUGAUCAGCCACACUGGAACUGAGACACGGUCCAGACUCCUACGGGAGGCAGCAGUGAGGAAUCUUGCGCAAUGGGGGAAACCCUGACGCAGCAACGCCGCGUGAGUGAGGAAGGUCUUCGGAUCGUAAAGCUCUGUCGGGUGGAAAGAAAUGUAUGGGGUUAAUAGCCUUCAUACUUGACGGUACCACCAAAGGAGCACCGG
Molecule: ribosomal RNA, 490 nt
Filed under: uncultured bacterium
Lineage: Bacteria
Description: bacterial SSU rRNA
Rfam family: Bacterial small subunit ribosomal RNA
Source: RNAcentral